AGUGAACGCUGGCGGUAGGCCUAACACAUGCAAGUCGAACGGCAGCACAGUAAGAGCUUGCUCUUACGGGUGGCGAGUGGCGGACGGGUGAGGAAUAAAUCGGAAUCUACUUUUUCGUGGGGGAUAACGUAGGGAAACUUACGCUAAUACCGCAUACGACCUACGGGUGAAAGCAGGGGAACUUCGGACCUUGCGCGAUUGAAUGAGCCGAUGUCGGAUUAGCUAGUUGGCGGGGUAAAGGCCCACCAAGGCGACGAUCCGUAGCUGGUCUGAGAGGAUGAUCAGCCACACUGGAACUGAGACACGGUCCAGACUCCUACGGGAGGCAGCAGUGGGGAAUAUUGGACAAUGGGCGCAAGCCUGAUCCAGCCAUACCGCGUGGGUGAAGAAGGCCUUCGGGUGGUAAAGCCCUUUUGUUGGGAAAGAAAAGCAGCAGGUUAAUACCCCGCUGUUCUGACGGUACCCAAAGAGUAAGCACCGGCUAACUUCGUG
This 492-nucleotide ribosomal RNA is filed under the name uncultured bacterium. Its description in RNAcentral is "partial 16S ribosomal RNA". It matches the Rfam family "Bacterial small subunit ribosomal RNA", at positions 29 to 507 of the family's 1533-position model. The record is from RNAcentral.